ACUCCUACGGGAGGCAGCAGUGGGGAAUAUUGCACAAUGGGCGCAAGCCUGAUGCAGCCAUGCCGCGUGUAUGAAGAAGGCCUUCGGGUUGUAAAGUACUUUCAGCAGUGAGGAAGGUGGUAGUGUUAAUAGCACUAUCAUUUGACGUUAGCUGCAGAAGAAGCACCGGCUAACUCCGUGCCAGCAGCCGCGGUAAUACGGAGGGUGCGAGCGUUAAUCGGAAUUACUGGGCGUAAAGCGCAUGCAGGUGGUUUGUUAAGUCAGAUGUGAAAGCCCGGGGCUCAACCUCGGAAUUGCAUUUGAAACUGGCAGACUAGAGUACUGUAGAGGGGGGUAGAAUUUCAGGUGUAGCGGUGAAAUGCGUAGAGAUCUGAAGGAUACCGGUGGCGAAGGCGGCCCCCUGGACAGAUACUGACACUCAGAUGCGAAAGCGUGGGGAGCAAACAGGAUUAGAUACCCUGGUAGGAUAGCG
Molecule: ribosomal RNA, 472 nt
Filed under: uncultured bacterium
Lineage: Bacteria
Description: bacterial SSU rRNA
Rfam family: Bacterial small subunit ribosomal RNA
Source: RNAcentral